CCUACGGGUGGCAGCAGUGGGGAAUAUUGGGCAAUGGGCGCAAGCCUGACCCAGCAACGCCGCGUGAAGGAAGAAGGCUUUCGGGUUGUAAACUUCUUUUGUCAGGGAAGAGUAGAAGACUGUACCUGACGAAUAAGCCACGGCUAACUACGUGCCAGCAGCCGCGGUAAUACGGAGGUGGCAAGCGUUGUCCGGAUUUACUGGGUGUAAAGGGCGUGUAGCCGGGUUGACAAGUCAGAUGUGAAAUCCUGCGGCUUAACCGCAGAACUGCAUUUGAAACUGUUGAACUGGAGUGCUGGAGAGGCAGAGGGAAUUCCUGGUGUAGCGGUGAAAUGCGUAGAUAUUAGGAGGAACACCAGUGGCGAAAGCGGUCUGCUGGACAGCAACUGACGGUGAGGCGCGAAAGCGUGGGGAGCAAACAGGAUUAGAUACCCCUGUAGUC
Molecule: ribosomal RNA, 442 nt
Filed under: uncultured bacterium
Lineage: Bacteria
Description: partial 16S ribosomal RNA
Rfam family: Bacterial small subunit ribosomal RNA
Source: RNAcentral